RNAcentral lists this transfer RNA (69 nucleotides) under Ictidomys tridecemlineatus (thirteen-lined ground squirrel). RNAcentral's name for it is "Spermophilus tridecemlineatus (thirteen-lined ground squirrel) tRNA". It matches the Rfam family "tRNA". From Rfam's summary of the family: Transfer RNA (tRNA) molecules are approximately 80 nucleotides in length. Lineage: Eukaryota; Metazoa; Chordata; Mammalia; Rodentia; Sciuridae. The record is from Rfam by way of RNAcentral.
GGGGUUGUGGCUCAGCGGUAGAGCGCUUGCCUAGCAAGUGCAAGGCCCUGGGUUCGAUUCUCAGCACCA